CCUACGGGUGGCAGCAGUGGGGAAUAUUGGACAAUGGGCGAAAGCCUGAUCCAGCCAUGCCGCGUGUGUGAAGAAGGCCUUCGGGUUGUAAAGCACUUUCAGUGGGGAAGAAAGCCUUGGGGCUAAUACCCUCGAGGAAGGACAUCACCCACAGAAGAAGCACCGGCUAACUCCGUGCCAGCAGCCGCGGUAAUACGGAGGGUGCGAGCGUUAUCGGAAUUACUGGGCGUAAAGCGCGCGUAGGCGGUCUGAUAAGCCGGUUGUGAAAGCCCCGGGCUCAACCUGGGAACGGCAUCCGGAACUGUCAGGCUAGAGUGCAGGAGAGGAAGGUAGAAUUCCCGGUGUAGCGGUGAAAUGCGUAGAGAUCGGGAGGAAUACCAGUGGCGAAGGCGGCCUUCUGGACUGACACUGACGCUGGGGUGCGAAAGCGUGGGUAGCAAACAGGAUUAGAUACCCUUGUAGU
Molecule: ribosomal RNA, 463 nt
Filed under: Vreelandella stevensii
Lineage: Bacteria; Pseudomonadati; Pseudomonadota; Gammaproteobacteria; Oceanospirillales; Halomonadaceae
Description: partial 16S ribosomal RNA
Rfam family: Bacterial small subunit ribosomal RNA
Source: RNAcentral